GGACUACCCGGGUUUCUAAUCCCGUUCGCUCCCCUGGCUUUCGUGUCUCAGCGUCAGCACACCCCCAGCGAGCUGUUUUCACCGUUGGCGUUCCAAAUGAUAUCUACGCAUUUCACCGCUCCACCAUUUGUUCCGCUCGCCCCUAGGUGGCUCAAGACGACCAGUAUACCCAGCAGUUCCACGGGUGAGCCGUGGGAUUUCACAAGGUACUUAGAAGUCCGCCUACACACGCUUUAAGCCCAGUGAUUCCGCCUAACGCUCGGCACCUCUGUAUUACCGCGGCUGCUGGCAC
Molecule: ribosomal RNA, 292 nt
Filed under: uncultured bacterium
Lineage: Bacteria
Description: partial 16S ribosomal RNA
Source: RNAcentral